This 492-nucleotide ribosomal RNA is filed under the name uncultured bacterium. RNAcentral describes it as "partial 16S ribosomal RNA". It matches the Rfam family "Bacterial small subunit ribosomal RNA", at positions 29 to 507 of the family's 1533-position model. The record is from RNAcentral.
AGUGAACGCUGGCGGUAGGCCUAACACAUGCAAGUCGAACGGCAGCACAGUAAGAGCUUGCUCUUACGGGUGGCGAGUGGCGGACGGGUGAGGAAUACAUCGGAAUCUACUUUUUCGUGGGGGAUAACGUAGGGAAACUUACGCUAAUACCGCAUACGACCUACGGGUGAAAGCAGGGGAUCUUCGGACCUUGCGCGAUUGAAUGAGCCGAUGUCGGAUUAGCUAGUUGGCGGGGUAAAGGCCCACCAAGGCGACGAUCCGUAGCUGGUCUGAGAGGAUGAUCAGCCACACUGGAAGUGAGACACGGUCCAGACGCCUACGGGAGGCAGCAGUGGGGAAUAUUGGACAAUGGGCGCAAGCCUGAUCCAGCCAUACCGCGUGGGUGAAGAAGGCCUUCGGGUUGUAAAGCCCUUUUGUUGGGAAAGAAAAGCAGCAGGUUAAUACCCCGCUGUUCUGACGGUACCCAAAGAAUAAGCACCGGCUAACUUCGUG